RNAcentral lists this ribosomal RNA (497 nucleotides) under uncultured bacterium. Its description in RNAcentral is "partial 16S ribosomal RNA". It matches the Rfam family "Bacterial small subunit ribosomal RNA", at positions 28 to 507 of the family's 1533-position model. The record is from RNAcentral.
GAUGAACGCUGGCGGCGUGCCUAAUACAUGCAAGUCGAGCGAACGGACGAGAAGCUUGCUUCUCUGAUGUUAGCGGCGGACGGGUGAGUAACACGUGGAUAACCUACCUAUAAGACUGGGAUAACUUCGGGAAACCGGAGCUAAUACCGGAUAAUCUUUUGAACCGCAUGGUUCAAAAGUGAAAGACGGUCUUGCUGUCACUUAUAGAUGGAUCCGCGCUGCAUUAGCUAGUUGGUAAGGUAACGGCUUACCAAGGCAACGAUGCAUAGCCGACCUGUGAGGGGGAUCGGCCACACUGGAACGUAGACACGGUCCAGACUCCUACGGGAGGCAGCAGUAGGGAAUCUUCCGCAAUGGGCGAAAGCCUUACGGAGCAACGCCGCGUGAGUGAUGAAGGUCUUCGGAUCGUAAAACUCUGUUGUUAGGGAAGAACAUAUGUGUAAGUAACUGUGCACAUCGUGACGGUACCUAAUCAGAAAGCCACGGCUAACUACGUG